RNAcentral lists this non-coding RNA (87 nucleotides) under Pseudomonas marginalis. Lineage: Bacteria; Pseudomonadati; Pseudomonadota; Gammaproteobacteria; Pseudomonadales; Pseudomonadaceae. The record is from RNAcentral. RNAcentral also lists the same sequence under 2 other names.
GCUUAUGGUGGCUGUGCGUGGGGCGCCUUCGGGUGCGCUGGUUUUCCUAUUGACCGGUCUGCUAACCCGCGUACAGCUACCACCCCU